RNAcentral lists this ribosomal RNA (473 nucleotides) under uncultured bacterium. RNAcentral's name for it is "partial 16S ribosomal RNA". It matches the Rfam family "Bacterial small subunit ribosomal RNA", at positions 29 to 507 of the family's 1533-position model. The record is from RNAcentral.
AACGAACGUUGGCGGCGUGGAUUAGGCAUGCAAGUCGUACGAGUUUCAUCUGGGUAACUGGAUGCAAAAAGUGGCGAAAGGGGCAGUAAGGCAUGGAUAAUCUACCCUGAUGACCGGGAUAGCUGUCCCAACGGGCAGGUAAUACCGGAUGAGCUGGUGGGGCCGCAUGGUUCUGCCAGGAAAGGCGCAAGCCGUGUCGGGAGGAAUCCAUGUGAUAUUAGCUAGUUGGUGAGGUAAAGGCUCACCAAGGCGAAGAUGUCUAGCGGGUGGGAGGGCACGAACCGCGCCGUUGGCACUGAGGCACUGGCCAGAAUCCUACGGGAGGCUGCAGGCGAGGAUCUUUGGGAAUGGGCGAAAGCCUGACCGAGCGACGCCGCGUGAGCGAUGAAGGCCAUUAGGUUGUAAAGCUCUGUCGAGGGGGAACAAGCCGCAAGGUUGAGUGAUCCCUGGAGGAAGCACGGGCUAAGUUCGUG